GACGAACGCUGGCGGCGUGCCUAAUACAUGCAAGUAGAACGCUGAAGAGAGGAGCUUGCUCUUCUUGGAUGAGUUGCGAACGGGUGAGUAACGCGUAGGUAACCUGCCUGGUAGCGGGGGAUAACUAUUGGAAACGAUAGCUAAUACCGCAUGAAAUUGAUUAUUGCAUGAUAAUUAAUUGAAAGAUGCAAUUGCAUCACUACCAGAUGGACCUGCGUUGUAUUAGCUAGUUGGUGAGGUAACGGCUCACCAAGGCGACGAUACAUAGCCGACCUGAGAGGGUGAUCGGCCACACUGGGACUGAGACACGGCCCAGACUCCUACGGGAGGCAGCAGUAGGGAAUCUUCGGCAAUGGGGGGAACCCUGACCGAGCAACGCCGCGUGAGUGAAGAAGGUUUUCGGAUCGUAAAGCUCUGUUGUAAGAGAAGAACGGGUGUGAGAGUGGAAAGUUCACACUGUGACGGUAUCUUACCAGAAAGGGACGGCUAACUACGUGCCAGCAGCCGCGGUAAUACGUAGGUCCCGAGCGUUGUCCGGAUUUAUUGGGCGUAAAGCGAGCGCAGGCGGUUAGAUAAGUCUGAAGUUAAAGGCUGUGGCUUAACCAUAGUAUGCUUUGGAAACUGUUUAACUUGAGUGCAGAAGGGGAGAGUGGAAUUCCAUGUGUAGCGGUGAAAUGCGUAGAUAUAUGGAGGAACACCGGUGGCGAAAGCGGCUCUCUGGUCUGUAACUGACGCUGAGGCUCGAAAGCGUGGGGAGCGAACAGGAUUAGAUACCCUGGUAGUCCACGCCGUAAACGAUGAGUGCUAGGUGUUAGGCCCUUUCCGGGGCUUAGUGCCGCAGCUAACGCAUUAAGCACUCCGCCUGGGGAGUACGACCGCAAGGUUGAAACUCAAAGGAAUUGACGGGGGCCCGCACAAGCGGUGGAGCAUGUGGUUUAAUUCGAAGCAACGCGAAGAACCUUACCAGGUCUUGACAUCCCUCUGACCGCUCUAGAGAUAGAGUUUUCCUUCGGGACAGAGGUGACAGGUGGUGCAUGGUUGUCGUCAGCUCGUGUCGUGAGAUGUUGGGUUAAGUCCCGCAACGAGCGCAACCCCUAUUGUUAGUUGCCAUCAUUCAGUUGGGCACUCUAGCGAGACUGCCGGUAAUAAACCGGAGGAAGGUGGGGAUGACGUCAAAUCAUCAUGCCCCUUAUGACCUGGGCUACACACGUGCUACAAUGGCUGGUACAACGAGUCGCAAGCCGGUGACGGCAAGCUAAUCUCUGAAAGCCAGUCUCAGUUCGGAUUGUAGGCUGCAACUCGCCUACAUGAAGUCGGAAUCGCUAGUAAUCGCGGAUCAGCACGCCGCGGUGAAUACGUUCCCGGGCCC
Molecule: ribosomal RNA, 1369 nt
Filed under: uncultured bacterium
Lineage: Bacteria
Description: bacterial SSU rRNA
Rfam family: Bacterial small subunit ribosomal RNA
Source: RNAcentral